UACGUAGGGGGCAAGCGUUGUCCGGAAUUAUUGGGCGUAAAGAGCGCGUAGGCGGUCCGAUAAGUCGGCUGUGAAAGUCAGGGGCUCAACCCUUGAAAGCCGGCCGAUACUGUCGGACUAGAGUCCGGAAGAGGCGAGUGGAAUUCCCGGUGUAGCGGUGAAAUGCGCAGAUAUCGGGAGGAACACCAAUGGCGAAGGCAGCCCCCUGGGUCAAGAUUGACGCUCAUGCACGAAAGCGUGGGGAGCAAACAGG
RNAcentral lists this ribosomal RNA (253 nucleotides) under uncultured bacterium. RNAcentral's name for it is "partial 16S ribosomal RNA". It matches the Rfam family "Bacterial small subunit ribosomal RNA", at positions 524 to 776 of the family's 1533-position model. The record is from RNAcentral.